GUGGGUAGAAAACACAAAACGACCAAUGGAGCAUAAUUUACAACAAAUCCUUUUAUCGAUAAAUAAAACCUUUACCAUUUACUUACAUCGGUGAAAUUCAUAAAACAAUAUACGAAAGCAAUAACAUCAUUAUCAUCAUGGAAACAUAUAUAUGAACUGUAUAACAUAAUACCUAUCACACUUUUCGUAAUUCAAUCGUUACACAACAUAUUUUCCUAAUUCACCAGCCCACUAGUAUCCAUGGGGAUCCAUAGGGGUCCCGCUACCCGUAAAUCCUUAACACUUGAAAUCAAAU
This 295-nucleotide long non-coding RNA is filed under the name Carica papaya (papaya). RNAcentral describes it as "long non-coding RNA (CPAP_LNC013290)". The record is from RNAcentral. Lineage: Eukaryota; Viridiplantae; Streptophyta; Magnoliopsida; Brassicales; Caricaceae.